AUAUCAUUAAGCGGAGGAGAAGAAAUUAACUAAGAUUGCCCUAGUAACGGCGAGUGAAGCGGCAAGAGCCCAAACUGGAAAUCUCGUACCUACGGUGCGCGAAUUGUAAUCUAAAGGUUGUCCGCUCAACGGAUGGUGUCGCAGAAGUGCUCUAGAACGAGCUACCAGAGAGGGUGACAGUCCCGUAUGUGGUGACACUAUCCAACGAGUGUGCUUCCGAAGAGUCGGGUUGUUUUGUAUUGCAGCCCUAAGUGGGAGGUAAACUUCUUCUAAGGCUAAAUAUAUAUGGGAGACCGAUAGCGCACAAGUA
This 310-nucleotide ribosomal RNA is filed under the name uncultured eukaryote. RNAcentral describes it as "partial large subunit ribosomal RNA". It matches the Rfam family "Eukaryotic large subunit ribosomal RNA", at positions 40 to 350 of the family's 3401-position model. The record is from RNAcentral.